UAUGUGAUCGUCUCUUGCAUAUCAAUAAGCGGAGGAAAAGAAACUAACAAGGAUUCCCCUAGUAACGGCGAGUGAAGCGGGAAGAGCUCAAAUUUGAAAUCUUAAAGGGUUUCCCUUUACGAAUUGUAGUUUAAAGAAGUGUUUUCUGUUGAGGUUUUGGUAAAAGUUCUUUGGAAUAGGACAUCAUAGAGGGUGAGAAUCCCGUAUUUGACCUUUACUUUCAACUUUGUGAUACACUUUCAAAGAGUCGGAUUGUUUGGGAAUGCAGUCCAAAAUGGGUGGUAAAUUUCAUCUAAAGCUAAAUAUUGGCGAGAGACCGAUAGCGAACAAGUACCGUGAGGGAAAGAUGAAAAGAACUUUGAAAAGAGAGUUAAACAGUACGUGAAAUUGUCAAAAGGGAAGCGUUUGACACCAGUGUUGUUUUUCUGAAAAUCAAUUAAAGAACUGUUUAUGCUAAGUUGUUUAGACUUUAUCAGCUAACUGUUUAGUUUUGAGCUUUUCUUUAAUGCACUUUUCAGUUAACAAGUCAACAUCAAUUUCUUUUGCUGUAAAAAAGCUUGAGGAAGGUGGCUUGAGAUUCGUCUUAAGUGUUUAUAGCCUCUUGCCUAUGCAGUCGGAGAGAUUGAGGUCUGCAGCGUAGAUCCUUCGGGGCUAAAUGCAUUUGUGCUAAGUUAUAACAUUUUAUAGACAACUUGUUGACUAUGAUUUGUCUUGUAGCUUACUCGCUUAUGUUAUUUUACCUACGCUUAGGAUGUUGAGUAGCGACAUACGCAC
RNAcentral lists this ribosomal RNA (774 nucleotides) under uncultured Neocallimastigales. Its description in RNAcentral is "partial large subunit ribosomal RNA". It matches the Rfam family "Eukaryotic large subunit ribosomal RNA", at positions 23 to 649 of the family's 3401-position model. The record is from RNAcentral. Lineage: Eukaryota; Fungi; Neocallimastigomycota; Neocallimastigomycetes; Neocallimastigales.